Molecule: ribosomal RNA, 182 nt
Filed under: uncultured bacterium
Lineage: Bacteria
Description: partial 16S ribosomal RNA
Rfam family: Bacterial small subunit ribosomal RNA
Source: RNAcentral
GUAGGGAAUCUUCCACAAUGGGCGCAAGCCUGAUGGAGCAACGCCGCGUGUGUGAUGAAGGGUUUCGGCUCGUAAAGCACUGUUGUAAGAGAAGAAUGUACUUUGAUAGUAACUGUUCAAGUUGUGACGGUAUCUUACCAGAAAGGGACGGCUAAAUACGUGCCAGCAGCCGCGGUAAUACG